UUAGGUACUUUUUUCUCGGCCCUCUCCGAUUUCAAUGAAACUUUGUAGACAAGUUAUUUUACGCUUAUAUAAGCAAUUUUCCCUGUUAGACUGAAGUCCCGCGGUCGUGCGAUUUGAAGCGUUAUCUGCUCGAAGUAGAUUGAGUCCUGCCAUUUUCGAGCGUUUGUCGUGCGUUUUGAUCGGCUAGUAAAAAACUGGGCAGGCGGUGAUGAAAUUUUAUGACAGAUCAACUUUGACUUUAGUUUUCAUUCCGAUAAGAUUGAUUUCCUUCAAUUUAUUUCUAAGAUUACUGAGUGCGAACGAGUAAUUCCCCCGCACGGGAACCGGCCGCGGCCAAUUGCGCUGAAAGAGGCUAUCGUCGCCGAAGGAACCGAUCCGGAGGUCCACGACGAUUGGUGUGGAUUCGGAUCUCCGAUCAAGAGGACAACAGUCUGUGCCGAUGACCAUCAGGUCAUCUGAGACGAGGCGGUGGAAGAAGUGACGAAGGCAGAAUGUACCUGCAUGUAUGUAUCAACCAUGGCAAGCAAAAGUAAGCCGAAGACAACAACAAAAUUGUAAAGAACAGUAUUUAUCCUGAAAAAAUAAAAAGUGUGCUUGUUUGCAAUUGAAA
Long non-coding RNA from Culex pipiens pallens (northern house mosquito), 610 nucleotides. RefSeq lists it as uncharacterized. NCBI's taxonomy places the organism in Eukaryota, Metazoa, Arthropoda, Insecta, Diptera, Culicidae. The record is from RefSeq and is a predicted model, not a curated record. The transcript has 2 exons.